RNAcentral lists this ribosomal RNA (481 nucleotides) under uncultured bacterium. RNAcentral's name for it is "bacterial SSU rRNA". It matches the Rfam family "Bacterial small subunit ribosomal RNA", at positions 30 to 497 of the family's 1533-position model. The record is from RNAcentral.
AUUGAACGCUGGCGGCAUGCUUUACACAUGCAAGUCGAACGGCAGCACGGGUGCUUGCACCUGGUGGCGAGUGGCGGACGGGUGAGUAAUACAUCGGAACGUAUCCUAAAGUGGGGGAUAACGCAUCGAAAGAUGUGCUAAUACCGCAUACACUCUGAGGAGGAAAGUAGGGGAUCGAAAGACCUUAUGCUUUUGGAGCGGCCGAUGUCUGAUUAGCUAGUUGGUAAGGUAAUGGCUUACCAAGGCAACGAUCAGUAGUUGGUCUGAGAGGACGACCAGCCACACUGGGACUGAGACACGGCCCAGACUCCUACGGGAGGCAGCAGUGGGGAAUUUUGGACAAUGGGCGCAAGCCUGAUCCAGCAAUGCCGCGUGAGUGAAGAAGGCCUCGGUUGUAAAGCUCUUUCAGUUGAGAAGAAAAGAAUUGUGUACUAAUAAUUAGUCAAUUACAUAGACGGUAUCUAACAGAAGAAGACACCGG